This 2802-nucleotide long non-coding RNA is filed under the name Marmota monax (woodchuck). The record is from RNAcentral. Lineage: Eukaryota; Metazoa; Chordata; Mammalia; Rodentia; Sciuridae.
CAUCAAUCAUAUUGUCUAUUCUAGUCUGCUGCCCUUCCUAUCCUCCUACCCCUCCCCUCCUCUCCCAUCCUUUCUCUCUAUCCAAUUUAAUGUGACACACUUUUUUUUCUGACAAGAACAAUUUUAAUGGGGCAAAGUUCAUUUGAGGGUUCAUGGUUUCAGAGGUUUCGGUCCAUAGAUAGCCUGCUCCAUUCCUCAGGGUUUGAGGUGAGGCAGAACAUCAUGGCAGAAGGUGUGACAGAGGGAAGCAGUGAUGAUCAGGAAACAGAGAAACUCCACUGCCAGAUACAAAAUAUACACCCCAAAGGCACACCCAGAGACCCACAUCCUUCAGCCUCACCCUACCUGCCUUCAGUUACCAAUCAGGGGAUUGAUUGAUUGGGUUAAGGAUCUCAUAACCCAAUCAUUUCUGCUCUGAAUGUUCUUGCAUUGUUUUACACAUGAUCUUCUGGGAGACACCUCACAUCCAAACUAUAAUAUCUAUAGCUCUCCUGUAAAAGCAAAAAAAAGAAAACAACAAAAAAAAAAACCACAAAAUUAUCAUUAGUGUUUUAUAUUUGAAGAUCAGAAAAAAAAACUCUAUUCCAUAGCAACCUAUUGGUCAGAACAGAUACAUUUACAGUUCUGAGAUCUGUUUAAGAGAACCCUUAGUGUAUAUAUAUUCUCAAACUAUGAAUAAGGAUUAUAAAUGGUGAAAUGAAAUUGAAUUUGCUAGGUUCUCGUAUGCUUCCAGCCCUCGAUUUUAAUAGUACUGCUUCUUAAUCAAAGUUCAUAAUCUCCCGAACUAGACUGUGAUCUUCUAGAAUAGACUACCCUUUUUGUCCCUCUUUUCUUUCAGUACAAUGACCCUGGCCAGGUUUACAGACUGAACUCGAAAAUACUGUUAUCUAGUAUGUUACUGUCUGAUACUGUGUAGAUGUUACUGUUUCAUAUCUACUCUGUGGCAUAAUACUAAGUAGUUUUGUUAUUGUGGUUUUGAGCUGAGCCAGUAGAAUGCUUUUGUAAUUGUGUGUCAGAGUUUCUGGUGCUUUUUCCAGGAAGCUGGAACUGAAUUAUUUUCAGAACUUUUAUAUAACUUAGUCUAUCAUCUUUAGUCCAAGAUUAAACAAAUACCGUAUGUGCCUAUGGCCUACAUUAUACAAAAUGUGAAAGGGUUAUAGCUGAAACACUCCCUAAGUGGCUUUCUGCGGCCAAGAAUACUUUCUGGAAUUAUCCAAAAUAUAUGAUGAAGCCAAAAGAGGUUUUUAAACACACCCUUUCUUCCCCUUAGGGUUUUCCCUAAGUCAUCCCUUCCCUGUCAGAGCUUGCUGCACACACAGAGGCACAGCACUUGACAGGUGUUAGGAGCUACAUUAGCCACUCAUGUAGUUGUCUAACCCACUAGACUUUGUAAGUGCCUCAAGACCAGGAACCCUCCCCUUACCUCAAUACCUCUUCUGGGCCUGUUUUUUGACCUGAACAGAGGGGAAAAAAACCCACAGGACCCAAAAGACUGAAAUAAGUAGUCUAAGUGGAGCAGAGAGAGCAGCCACAGCUUGGGAUGACAUAACAGAGCAGUCAUGGAAGACCCAUGGUGAAGAUGUGUUCUCAUAUUCUUACAGGUGAGAAAUUUCAGACAUCCCUCAUUUUAUUGUGCUUCUCAAAUAUUGUGGGCUUUCUGUGUUUAUUUUACAAAUUGUAGCAAACCCAUGUCAAGCAAGCCUGUUCAAACCAUUUUUUUCAUGUGUCUGGGUCAAAUGUUGGUAAUUUUAACAAUAUUUCAAGUUUUUCCAUUAUUAUUAUUUCUGCUGCAGUGAUCCAUGAUUAAUGAUCUUUGAUGUUACUGCUGUAGUUUUUUGGGGGCACCAUGAAUGUCCAUCACAUAACAGGCCAACUGAGUCAGUAGGCCUUGCCUAUGUUCUGACUGCUUCACUGACUGUUGUUCAUUCCCCAUUCCUCUUCCUCUCCUUGAGCCUCCCUAUUCCCUAAGACACAACAACAUUAAAAAGAGUUCAAUUAAUAACCCAUAAAGGCCUGUAAGCGUUCCAAAGAAAGGUAGAGGUUCAGGUCUCUCACUUUAAAUAAAAAACUAGAAGUGAUUAAAUUUAGUGAGGAAUACAAACCAAAAGCUGAGAAAGGUUGAAAGCCAAGUCUCUGGUGGCAAACAGUUAGCCUAGCUGUGAAUGCAAAGGAAAGUUCUUGAAGGAAAUUAAAAGCGCUACUCCAAUGAACACACAAGUGAUUUAAAAAAAAUUUUUUUUAAAAAAAGCAAAUAGCUUAUUGCUGAUGUUGAGAAAGUUUUAGUGGUCUAGAUAGAAGAUGAAACCAGCCACAACACUCCUUUCACCAAAGCCUCACCCAGAGCAAAACCAGCUCUCUUCAAAUCUGUGAAGGUGGAGAGAGGUGAGGAAGCUGCAGAAGAGAAGUUUGAAGCUAGCAGAAGUUGAUUCCUGAGGUUUAAGGAAAGAAGCCAAAUCCAUAACAUAAGGUACAAAAUGAAGCAUCAAGUGCUGAUGCAGAAGCUGCAGCAAGUUACCCAGAAGAUAACUAAUGAAGGUGGCUAAACUCAUGUAGAUGAAAUAGCCGUCUAUUGGAAGAAGGCACCUAGGACUUUAAUAGCUAGAGAGAAGUCAAUGCCUGGCUUUGAAGCUUCAAAGGACAGGCUUUCUUGUUGGGGGUAAUCCAGUUAAUGACUUUUAAAUUGAAGCUAGUGCUUACUUCCCAUUUACCAAAUCCUAGGUCCUUAAGAAUUAUACUACAUCUACUCUGCCUGUGCUUUAUAAAUGGAGCAAGCCUAGAUGAAUUUUAAGCCCAUUGUUGAGA